AAUUGAGCAACCUCCUGAGUAACGCGACGUGGCUUAUCCCUAUUAGUAGACGCAUAAAUAUAAAAUAUUUUUUUUUCUCCAUUUUUUCUUUCAUUCUUCGCAACUCUCUCUCUCUUCUCUCUCGUUCCAAACAGCGAUGGAAGAGACGAUUCGUCGGAAAAUCUGGAAAUUCAAUCGAUUCACAGCGAUGGAAGAGGACGGCGAGGUCUACCGGCUAACGAAUCGGCGAGAUAAGGUUCGUCGUCUCAUCUAUUUAUUUGGUGAAAGAGAGCUUUGCUUUAGGGAUCUUCGGAUUUGGGAUUCAAUUAUUGUGAUGUGUAGUUUGUAAUUGUGAUUGCUCUGUUUUAUAGUUGUAGUUAUAUAUCACAAGGAGAGAUUUUUUUUAAUAUAUUAUAGAAGUGAUGACCAUAGAAUUGUGAUUGAUGAGAGUCAGAAGCAAUGAUUGGGUUAUUCAAGGUAAAGGAAAAACGAAGAGAGCAAGCUCAAAAUGCUAACAGCGGUUGUGUUAUCUCACUUGAAAAGCACCAGGACUAGCAGCGACACACGAAGGUGCUCUCAUGAUUGUGGGAAACAACGUAGGAGUUACAAUAGGACACUCAAUUUUUGCUCUGACAAUGCAAUGGGGAGCUUGUGUUGUCUUUGUUUUGACCAGUCCUAAUCCAGAUCCGUCAAUCAGAAGAGAAUCAUCCAUCAAAAGAACAACCUCGAAGCAAGCGUAGAGGCGGAUCCUAAGAACAAGAAACCUGCAGGGAUUAUGCUACUGACUCUAAUUCCAUUUCUCUUGGUGACAUUGCCUGAUUUAUUUGAUGCACAACCUUGGAGUGACAUCAUUAUGUUGAUCACACUCAUAAUCUCAUGUUCUUCAACCAUUAUCUACUUUGUUUACUCGUAUUUUGAUACGGCAGACCAAAAGAAGAGUUUAGAUCACGCCAAGUUUGAGCUCAUGUUUGAAGUUCAUAAGCAUUUGCAGAGCUUUUCUCCUCGAACACUUAUUAGAGAUGGA
Molecule: non-coding RNA, 1003 nt
Organism: Camelina sativa (false flax)
Lineage: Eukaryota; Viridiplantae; Streptophyta; Magnoliopsida; Brassicales; Brassicaceae
Source: RefSeq, a predicted model, not a curated record